UACGUAGGGUGCAAGCGUUAAUCGGAAUUACUGGGCGUAAAGCGUGCGCAGGCGGUUUUGUAAGUCAGAUGUGAAAUCCCCCGGGCUUAACCUGGGAACUGCGUUUGAAACUACAAGGCUAGAGUGUGGCAGAGGGGGGUGGAAUUCCACGGUGUAGCAGUGAAAUGCGUAGAUAUGCGGAGGAACACCGAUGGCGAAGGCAAUCCCCUGGGCCUGCACUGACGCUCAUGCACGAAAGCGUGGGGAGCAAACAGG
Molecule: ribosomal RNA, 255 nt
Filed under: uncultured bacterium
Lineage: Bacteria
Description: partial 16S ribosomal RNA
Rfam family: Bacterial small subunit ribosomal RNA
Source: RNAcentral